AUUGAACGCUGGCGGCAUGCCUUACACAUGCGAGUCGAACGGCAGCACGGGUGCUUGCACCUGGUGGCGAGUGGCGAACGGGUGAGUAAUACAUCGGAACAUGUCCUGUAGUGGGGGAUAGCCCGGCGAAAGCCGGAUUAAUACCGCAUACGAUCCACGGAUGAAAGCGGGGGACCUUCGGGCCUCGCGCUAUAGGGUUGGCCGAUGGCUGAUUAGCUAGUUGGUGGGGUAAAGGCCUACCAAGGCGACGAUCAGUAGCUGGUCUGAGAGGACGACCAGCCACACUGGGACUGAGACACGGCCCAGACUCCUACGGGAGGCAGCAGUGGGGAAUUUUGGACAAUGGGCGAAAGCCUGAUCCAGCAAUGCCGCGUGUGUGAAGAAGGCCUUCGGGUUGUAAAGCACUUUUGUCCGGAAAGAAAUCCUUGACUCUAAUACAGUCGGGGGAUGACGGUACCGGAAGAAUAAGCACCGGCUAAUUACGUG
RNAcentral lists this ribosomal RNA (486 nucleotides) under uncultured bacterium. RNAcentral's name for it is "partial 16S ribosomal RNA". It matches the Rfam family "Bacterial small subunit ribosomal RNA", at positions 30 to 507 of the family's 1533-position model. The record is from RNAcentral.